GUGCUAUCAUGCAGUCGUACGCUUCUUUUUCCACGGAGCUUGCUCCCACCGGAAAAAGAGGAGUGGCGAACGGGUGAGUAACACGUGGGUAACCUGCCCAUCAGAAGGGGAUAACACUUGGAAACAGGUGCUAAUACCGUAUAACAAUCGAAACCGCAUGGUUUUGAUUUGAAAGGCGCUUUCGGGUGUCGCUGAUGGAUGGACCCGCGGUGCAUUAGCUAGUUGGUGAGGUAACGGCUCACCAAGGCCACGAUGCAUAGCCGACCUGAGAGGGUGAUCGGCCACAUUGGGACUGAGACACGGCCCAAACUCCUACGGGAGGCAGCAGUAGGGAAUCUUCGGCAAUGGACGAAAGUCUGACCGAGCAACGCCGCGUGAGUGAAGAAGGUUUUCGGAUCGUAAAACUCUGUUGUUAGAGAAGAACAAGGAUGAGAGUAACUGUUCAUCCCUUGACGGUAUCUAACCAGAAAGCCACGGCUAACUACGUGCCAGCAGCCGCGGUAAUACGUAGGUGGCAAGCGUUGUCCGGAUUUAUUGGGCGUAAAGCGAGCGCAGGCGGUUUCUUAAGUCUGAUGUGAAAGCCCCCGGCUCAACCGGGGAGGGUCAUUGGAAACUGGGAGACUUGAGUGCAGAAGAGGAGAGUGGAAUUCCAUGUGUAGCGGUGAAAUGCGUAGAUAUAUGGAGGAACACCAGUGGCGAAGGCGGCUCUCUGGUCUGUAACUGACGCUGAGGCUCGAAAGCGUGGGGAGCAAACAGGAUUAGAUACCCUGGUAGUCCACGCCGUAAACGAUGAGUGCUAAGUGUUUGGAGGGUUUCCGCCCUUCAGUGCUGCAGCUAACGCAUUAAGCACUCCGCCUGG
This 859-nucleotide ribosomal RNA is filed under the name Enterococcus lactis. RNAcentral describes it as "bacterial SSU rRNA". It matches the Rfam family "Bacterial small subunit ribosomal RNA", at positions 44 to 876 of the family's 1533-position model. The record is from RNAcentral. Lineage: Bacteria; Bacillati; Bacillota; Bacilli; Lactobacillales; Enterococcaceae.